Long non-coding RNA from Myotis myotis, 550 nucleotides. RefSeq lists it as uncharacterized. Lineage: Eukaryota; Metazoa; Chordata; Mammalia; Chiroptera; Vespertilionidae. The record is from RefSeq and is a predicted model, not a curated record. The transcript has 4 exons.
GGCCGCGAGCCCCUCGGACGGCUGUCAAACCUCGGCUGCCGCCGGGUGACAGGGGCGGGAGGAGGGCGCGACGCGGCGGCCAGAGCCCGAGCGGUCGAGGGGGAUCCUCGCAGCAGCAGCAGCAGCGGCGGCGGCGGUGGCGGCCGCUCACCUGGAAAGUCACCGCUGAGUAGGAGAAGGAGGAGGAGGACGGAGAGAACGAGGAAGAGGAGGGAGAGGAGGAGGGGGAGGAAACCCCCCUGGUGCCCUUGUUCUUGCUGCCGCGGCGGCCGCUCCUCGCCGAGGCUGAGCGUGUCUGACCUACAAUCAGUGUAUUUCUGAGGACCCUAUCCAAAGGCGACAUUGCCCUGAAGAAUGACUCUGCAAAAUAAAGCAGUUGAGGAAAGAAUCAUCUAAUAAUCUUGAUUCUGAGGUAUUAAGAGAGCCACAUAAUUUCCACGUGGCAUUUUCACAGUCAGAAAUCACUUCAAACUGAAAGCACUUUCAUUCACAAGACCAGACAGCCGAACGACCUUCUGGAUGUCCUUCCAGAUGACCUUCAGGACAACCU